This 363-nucleotide ribosomal RNA is filed under the name uncultured bacterium. RNAcentral's name for it is "bacterial SSU rRNA". It matches the Rfam family "Bacterial small subunit ribosomal RNA", at positions 29 to 420 of the family's 1533-position model. The record is from RNAcentral.
ACGAACGCUGGCGGCAGGCCUAACACAUGCAAGUCGAGCGAGGACUUCGGUUCUAGCGGCGGACGGGUGAGUAACGCGUGGGAAUGUGCCCUUCUCUACGGAAUAGCCCUGGGAAACUGGGAGUAAUACCGUAUACGCCCUAUUGGGGAAAGAUUUAUCGGAGAAGGAUCAGCCCGCGUUGGAUUAGGUAGUUGGUGGGGUAAUGGCCUACCAAGCCGACGAUCCAUAGCUGGUUUGAGAGGAUGAUCAGCCACACUGGGACUGAGACACGGCCCAGACUCCUACGGGAGGCAGCAGUGGGGAAUCUUAGACAAUGGGGGCAACCCUGAUCUAGCCAUGCCGCGUGAGUGAUGAAGGCCUUAG